CUGGGGAUAGAGCAUGCAGCUAAAAAAGGCCCCUGUCCCAAUGAGUCAAAGAACUGAGGGGAUUCUACAAUGUGGCAGUUCCAGUUUAAAAGUGGAGACAGCUCUGAACAAACCAUGACAGUUUGCAUGGAACGGAGGGGUUCCACAUGCUAAAACCAGAAAAGUCCUGAGAAAACUGGGACCCAGUUUCUGGCUUAGGAAUGAAGUAAUCAGUCUAUGAGACAGGGAAGGCAGCAACAGGAACAGAUUCAGAUUUUGUAAUUGAGUUAAACACCUACGAUAGAUUAAAACAGCCACAAAAGAAAUUCUUUGCAGCUCUUUCCAUGAAGAGGAGGAGUCAAUUUCCCCACCCCUUGAAUCUGAGCUGAUAGAGACUUGGUUUGACUGAAUGAAAGAAAAUGACUUUGUGUGAAUUCCAAGCCUAGGCCUUGAGAGACCUCCGAACAAGCAAAUAAAAAAUAAAAAAAAAGAAACCAU
RNAcentral lists this long non-coding RNA (477 nucleotides) under Homo sapiens (human). RNAcentral describes it as "HSALNT0293657". The record is from RNAcentral. Lineage: Eukaryota; Metazoa; Chordata; Mammalia; Primates; Hominidae.